RNAcentral lists this ribosomal RNA (484 nucleotides) under uncultured bacterium. Its description in RNAcentral is "partial 16S ribosomal RNA". It matches the Rfam family "Bacterial small subunit ribosomal RNA", at positions 30 to 507 of the family's 1533-position model. The record is from RNAcentral.
AUUGAACGCUGGCGGCAGGCCUAACACAUGCAAGUCGAGCGGAUGAAGGGAGCUUGCUCCUGGAUUCAGCGGCGGACGGGUGAGUAAUGCCUAGGAAUCUGCCUGGCAGUGGGGGAUGACGUCCGGAGACGAGCGCUAAUACCGCAUAAGACCAGAUGGAGAAAGAGGGGGAUCUUCGGACCGCACGGUAUCAGGUGAGCCUAGGUGGGAUUAGCUAGCUGGUUGGGUAAAGGCCUACCAAGGCGACGAUCCGUAACUAGUCUGAGAGGGUGAUCAGUCACACUGGAACUGAGACACGGUCCAGACUCCUACGGGAGGCAGCAGUGGGGAAUAUUGGGCAAUGGGCGAAAGCCUGAUCCAGCCAGGCCGCGUGUGUGAAGAAGGUCUUCGGAUUGUAAAGCACUUUAAGUUGGGAGGAAGGGCAGUAAGUUAAUACGUUGCUGUUUUGACGGUACCAACAGAAUAAGCACCGGCUAACUACGUG